UCUGUUUCAGGUACCUAGAAGCGAUCUAUAACCAUGUCUUCUUCCAGCAGUCACACAAUCGAUUGCAUGUUUGAUUCGCCCGCAAGCUCGACAGUCCUUGUGUAUUCAACUCUUGAGGUCCGAGGAAAUCAUCGCGCGAAGCUUGGACCCCAACACGGUAGGCUCUUCCGACCCCUCGAUAUAGUUGACUCAAUCUAGGCAGUCUCUAGUUCAUAGGCUGCGAAGAAAGCCACAAUCCUCGAUCACCGUCUGGGAUUUGGAGAGCAUAAGAGCGGUUUAUGCACCGCAACUUAAUUUGAUGGUUUCGGUGGACUUUUCUCAAAAGAAUCCCCUGCCCGGAUGGGUGGCGAUCUUUGAGACCAUCCGAAGAUGCAAGCGUAUAUGAUCGCUGAAUUGGGUAAGCCAUCCGUCAAGGAGCUUGUCCAUCUGUAUAGGCUUAAGAAAGGGCAAGACUAGACAUACUACCUUUCCAAGGUGAGGAAGAUACGUUUCAACAAGCUGGUCGAUGUCCCAAAGAAGGUCUCGCACUAGGACUCACAAUCUUUCUUCUACGAAGCCCAGGAGACCAGCGCGUUCACUUAGAAAUCAAUUAACGUCGAACAGAACUAUCUCCCUAUCGCGAGCUUGUAGAGGCUCCAGCAUUUCAGGGACCUUCCUGAUGGACAAUGUAGCGUUAACGAGAUCAUUACGCUCCCUCGCCUGCAAGCAUACAAUUUCUGUUGGGACAAUGCCAGAUUUCUUAUGAUUUUGGAGAAAGGUUAAGUUAUCGUUUACUCGCACUUUUUUCCUAUGCAGAUAAGUCGUUCACUAUUUGUCACUUUUUUUGCAAAGAUAUGGGCUGAGAAACUAAAAGGCCCAAAAAAGAAGACUGCAGCUUCGGCGACUGCUAAGAAAACAUCGGCUGCUUUGGCGACGAAGCUGCCCACUGACGUCACUGGCAUGAAAUGCGAAGCGAAAAAGCCCAUGACUGCCCUAAAGGCAAUUGGCGGGAAGAACGUCUUCGAGCCCUAAAAGGGGUUGGUAAAGAAAACACUCAAGCUGAUUGGAGGCUCGAGAAAACAAAGGACACUCGAGCAGUAAGAUAGCUCAAGUAAGAAGAAAUCGACCUAGCCUCUAGAGGGCUCGGGCAAACAAAAAGUGGUCGAGCAGCAGGUUGGCUCAGGCAAAGAGGUUGCCAUGCAUGCUAGAGACCUAAAGAAAGUAGCAACCAAGGACUUGGCCAAGAAGAAGUCCACCUCUGUGGGCAAGGCUGGCACUAGAGGUGUUCAAAAGAACCGAUUGGAACUGGAACCAAUGGAUACCCAAGGUUUGAUUCCGAUUCCUACCCGGAACCGACUGCCAACGGGUAGGUUCCAGUUCUAAAUUUUUGGAAUCGUUACUGUGUGAUUCCGGUUCUAGUUCCUAUAAUUAAGAAUCAGAACCAGGAACCAAGACUAAUAUAUAAUAAAAUUAAAGAGUAGGGGGGUUAAUAAAAACUUUUGUAGAAAAAGUUAU
Molecule: long non-coding RNA, 1494 nt
Organism: Pistacia vera
Lineage: Eukaryota; Viridiplantae; Streptophyta; Magnoliopsida; Sapindales; Anacardiaceae
Exons: 3
Source: RefSeq, a predicted model, not a curated record